CAAUAGCGUAUAUUAAAGUUGUUGCGGUUAAAACGCUCGUAGUUUGAAAUCUGUUAAGGACGAUCUGUCUGCCCUCUGGGUGUGUAUUUGGUCUAGCCUUGGCAUUUCCUUGAACAAGACAACUGCACUUGAUUGUGUGGUGUUGAUUUCAAGGUGUUUACUUUGAGGAAAUCAGAGUGCUUCCAGCAGGUGUGCGCCUUGAAUACAUUAGCAUGGAAUAUCAUUAUAUGGUUUGGAUUUUUACUUGUUUUUUUUUAAAAUUGAAGCAAUGAUAAAUAGGGAUAAUUGGGGGCACUUGUAUUUAAUUGUCAGAGGUGAAAUUCUUGGAUUUGUGAAAGACAAACUACUGCGAAAGCAUUUGCCAAAAAUGUUUUCAUUG
Molecule: ribosomal RNA, 379 nt
Filed under: uncultured eukaryote
Lineage: Eukaryota
Description: partial 18S ribosomal RNA
Rfam family: Eukaryotic small subunit ribosomal RNA
Source: RNAcentral